Molecule: ribosomal RNA, 737 nt
Filed under: Acinetobacter calcoaceticus
Lineage: Bacteria; Pseudomonadati; Pseudomonadota; Gammaproteobacteria; Moraxellales; Moraxellaceae
Description: bacterial SSU rRNA
Rfam family: Bacterial small subunit ribosomal RNA
Source: RNAcentral
CUACCAUGCAGUCGAGCGGGGAGGGGUAGCUUGCUACCUAACCUAGCGGCGGACGGGUGAGUAAUGCUUAGGAAUCUGCCUAUUAGUGGGGGACAACAUCUCGAAAGGGAUGCUAAUACCGCAUACGUCCUACGGGAGAAAGCAGGGGAUCUUCGGACCUUGCGCUAAUAGAUGAGCCUAAGUCGGAUUAGCUAGUUGGUGGGGUAAAGGCCUACCAAGGCGACGAUCUGUAGCGGGUCUGAGAGGAUGAUCCGCCACACUGGGACUGAGACACGGCCCAGACUCCUACGGGAGGCAGCAGUGGGGAAUAUUGGACAAUGGGGGGAACCCUGAUCCAGCCAUGCCGCGUGUGUGAAGAAGGCCUUAUGGUUGUAAAGCACUUUAAGCGAGGAGGAGGCUACUUUAGUUAAUACCUAGAGAUAGUGGACGUUACUCGCAGAAUAAGCACCGGCUAACUCUGUGCCAGCAGCCGCGGUAAUACAGAGGGUGCAAGCGUUAAUCGGAUUUACUGGGCGUAAAGCGCGCGUAGGCGGCUAAUUAAGUCAAAUGUGAAAUCCCCGAGCUUAACUUGGGAAUUGCAUUCGAUACUGGUUAGCUAGAGUGUGGGAGAGGAUGGUAGAAUUCCAGGUGUAGCGGUGAAAUGCGUAGAGAUCUGGAGGAAUACCGAUGGCGAAGGCAGCCAUCUGGCCUAACACUGACGCUGAGGUGCGAAAGCAUGGGGAGCAAACAGGAUUAGU